UGGAGGGCAAGUCUGGUGCCAGCAGCCGCGGUAAUUCCAGCUCCAAUAGCGUAUAUUAAAGUUGUUGCAGUUAAAAAGCUCGUAGUUGAAUUUCGGGAUCAGUUGGUCGGUCGUGCCUCGGUACGUACUGGUCAAAUUGAUUCCUACCUUCUGACGAACCACGAUGUCAUUAAUUUGGUGUCGCGGGAAAUCAGGACUGUUACUUUGAAAAAAUUAGAGUGUUUAAAGCAGGCUCGCGCUUGAAUACAUUAGCAUGGAAUAAUGAAAUAGGACGUUUGAUUCUAUUUUGUUGGUUUCUAGGAUCGACGCAAUGAUUAAUAGGGACAGUUGGGGGCAUUAGUAUUCAAUUGUCAGAGGUGAAAUUCUUGGAUUUAUUGAAGACUAACUACUGCGAAAGCAUUUGCCAAGGAUGUUUUCAUUAAUCAAGAACGAAAGUUAGGGGAUCGAAGACGAUCAGAUACCGUCGUAGUCUUAACCAUAAACUAUGCCGACUAGGGAUCGGAUGAUGUUAAUUUUUUAAUGACUCAUUCGGCGCCUUACGGGAAAC
RNAcentral lists this ribosomal RNA (547 nucleotides) under uncultured Glomeromycotina. RNAcentral describes it as "SSU rRNA". It matches the Rfam family "Eukaryotic small subunit ribosomal RNA", at positions 549 to 1098 of the family's 1831-position model. Lineage: Eukaryota; Fungi; Glomeromycota. The record is from RNAcentral.